This 141-nucleotide ribosomal RNA is filed under the name Anaplasma phagocytophilum. Its description in RNAcentral is "partial 16S ribosomal RNA". It matches the Rfam family "Bacterial small subunit ribosomal RNA", at positions 1400 to 1533 of the family's 1533-position model. Lineage: Bacteria; Pseudomonadati; Pseudomonadota; Alphaproteobacteria; Rickettsiales; Anaplasmataceae. The record is from RNAcentral.
CACNAUGGGAGUUGGUCUUACCCNACGGCGCUGCGCCAACCGCAAGGAGGCAGGCGACCACGGUAGGGUCAGCGACUGGGGUGAAGUCGUAACAAGGUAGCCGUAGGGGAACCUGCGGCUGGAUCACCUCCUUUCUAAGGA